This 327-nucleotide ribosomal RNA is filed under the name uncultured eukaryote. RNAcentral describes it as "partial 18S ribosomal RNA". It matches the Rfam family "Eukaryotic small subunit ribosomal RNA", at positions 1470 to 1796 of the family's 1831-position model. The record is from RNAcentral.
CCCUUAGAUGUUCUGGGCCGCACACGCGCUACACUGAAGGAGGCAGCGUGUACUCCUGGAUCGAAAGAUUUGGGUAACCCGCGAAUCUCCUUCGUGCUAGGGAUUGAGGUUUGCAAUUAUCCUUCAUGAACGAGGAAUUCCCAGUAAGUGCAAGUCAUAAGCUUGCGCUGACUACGUCCCUGCCCUUUGUACACACCGCCCGUCGCUACUACCGAUUGAAUGAUUUAGUGAGGACUUUGGACUGGGACCGAUGCGGCUUUCGGGCUGCGCCGGUAUUCUGGAAAGAUGUCCAAACUGUAUCAUUUAGAGGAAGUAAAAGUCGUAACA